GCCUAAAAUCUAGCCUAUCUACAUCCACAUGCCUUCCUAUCCCAACAGCCCAAAGAUAAAACAUUUUAUUAUUUUAGUACAGGUGAUCGAAAAAUUUUUAAGCGCUUCAGAUAAAGUACCGUAAGGGAAAGAUGAAAUAGAAUUGAAAUAACCUUAAAGCCUCAAAUAGCAGAGACUCCCCCUCGUACCUUUUGCAUCAUGGUCUAGUUAGUUUAUUCAAGCAAAAUGAAAUUUUUAGUUAGACACCCCGAAACUAAGGGAGCUACUUCAAAACAGCCUAAUGGGCCAACCCGUCUCUGUUGCAAAAGAGUGGGAAGAUUUUUAAGUAGAGGUGAAAAACCUACCGAACUUAGAGAUAGCUGGUUGUUCAGGAAAAGAGUUUUAGCUCUACCUUAAACUUACUAAUGAUAUAAAACAAACUUUGAAGCUUAAGAGCUAUUCAAAUAAGGCACAGCUUAUUUGAAAUAGGAUACAACCUAUUAUACAGGGUAAAUAGUAGUAUUAAAAAUUAAGUGGGCCUAAAAGCAGCCACCUUCAAAAAAGCGUUAAAGCUUAAUUAAAAUUACUUAUAAUUUCCAAAAUUAUUAAUAACCCUUUAUUUUUACUGAACUAUUUUAUAUUCUUAUAAAAGCAAUGAUGCUAGAACUAGUAACAAGAAAUUGACUUCUCCUAAAUGUAAGCAUAAACCAAAAUUGACAUUCCAUUGGUAAUCAACGUAAAUGCAGAAAAUAUAAUAACCUACUAGAAAAACCUAUAAUUUUUUACGUUAACCUAACACUAGAAUAUUACAGGAAAGAUUAAAAGAGAAAGAAGGAACUCGGCAAAAUUUAGCCUCGCCUGUUUACCAAAAACAUCGCCUCUUGAUAAAACAUAAGAGGUCCAGCCUGCCCAGUGACAUAGUUCAACGGCCGCGGUACCCUAACCGUGCGAAGGUAGCAUAAUCAAUUGUCCUCUAAAUAGGGACUAGUAUCAAUGGCACCACGAAGGCUACACUGUCUCCUUUCUCUAAUCAGUGAAACUGAUCUCCCCGUGAAGAAGCGGGAAUAUAAUUAUAAGACGAGAAGACCCCAUGGAGCUUUAAACUCAUCAUACACCUUCAUAUUACUUAAAUCUACUAAUCCUAAAGACCUGUAUGCUAAUUUUAGGUUGGGGGGACCACGGAGUAUAAUUUAACCUCCACAACAAAUGGGUUAAUACCCUUAUCCACGAGAAACACCUCUAAGAAUUAAUAAACUAAUGUUUAAUGAUCCGAUAACUCGAUCAAUGAACCAAGUUACCCUGGGGAUAACAGCGCAAUCUACUUCAAGAGCCCCUAUCGACAAGUAGGUUUACGACCUCGAUGUUGGAUCAGGGUAUCCUAGUGGUGCAACCGCUACUAAUGGUUCGUUUGUUCAACG
RNAcentral lists this ribosomal RNA (1397 nucleotides) under Lithobates tarahumarae (Tarahumara frog). RNAcentral describes it as "Rana tarahumarae (Tarahumara frog) partial 16S ribosomal RNA". It matches the Rfam family "Bacterial large subunit ribosomal RNA", at positions 267 to 2586 of the family's 2925-position model. Lineage: Eukaryota; Metazoa; Chordata; Amphibia; Anura; Ranidae. The record is from RNAcentral.